GAUGAACGCUGGCGGCGUGCCUAAUACAUGCAAGUCGAGCGAACGGACGAGAAGCUUGCUUCUCUGAUGUUAGCGGCGGACGGGUGAGUAACACGUGGAUAACCUACCUAUAAGACUGGGAUAACUUCGGGAAACCGGAGCUAAUACCGGAUAAUAUUUUGAACCGCAUGGUUCAAAAGUGAAAGACGGUCUUGCUGUCACUUAUAGAUGGAUCCGCGCUGCAUUAGCUAGUUGGUAAGGUAACGGCUUACCAAGGCAACGAUGCAUAGCCGACCUGAGAGGGGGGCCGCCCCCAGUAGAGCGGAGCACGGGACAAGCCUCCGGCGGGAGGCGGCAGAGGGGAAGCUCCGACAAUGGGGGAAGGCCGUACGGGGCGACGCGGGGGGAGUGAGAAGGGUCUUGGAAUCGAAAAACUGUUUUAUUGGGGAAAAACAGAUUUGAAGGAAUGUGUCCACUUCUGAAGGGGCCUAAAUAAGAAGCCCACGCCAAACCACGGC
RNAcentral lists this ribosomal RNA (497 nucleotides) under uncultured bacterium. RNAcentral's name for it is "partial 16S ribosomal RNA". It matches the Rfam family "Bacterial small subunit ribosomal RNA", at positions 28 to 508 of the family's 1533-position model. The record is from RNAcentral.